Molecule: long non-coding RNA, 310 nt
Filed under: Trifolium pratense (red clover)
Lineage: Eukaryota; Viridiplantae; Streptophyta; Magnoliopsida; Fabales; Fabaceae
Description: long non-coding RNA (TPRA_LNC007159)
Source: RNAcentral
UAGAACAGAGAAAGAAGGAGGCUUUGAGAGAAAGAAAGAAAAGAGAAGAAAAGUCUAGGAGAUUAGAAGAAGCUCAAGAGAAGGAUUAGAGAUUUCAACUUAUUAAGGUAAGAGGGAUAGUAACAUAGUUAUUGGAGAUGAUUCAUGAGAGGAGAGAAAAUUAUUUUUCUCUAGCCCAAACUCUCUCAUCCUAAUUGGGGGUUUGUAUGUGGGAUUUGGGAAUGUGUUUAUUAAGAACUUUUGUGUGUUGAUUCAUGAUUCUACUUGUUCUAUCAUGAUUAUUGAGUGUUUUAAUAUGAUAAAAAUACUC